RNAcentral lists this ribosomal RNA (490 nucleotides) under uncultured bacterium. RNAcentral describes it as "partial 16S ribosomal RNA". It matches the Rfam family "Bacterial small subunit ribosomal RNA", at positions 30 to 507 of the family's 1533-position model. The record is from RNAcentral.
AUUGAACGCUGGCGGCAGGCCUAACACAUGCAAGUCGAACGGUAACACGAAGAAGCUUGCUUCUUUGCUGACGAGUGGCGGACGGGUGAGUCAUGUCUGUGAAACUGCCUGAUGGAGGGGGAUACCUACUGGAAACGGUAGCUAAUACCGCAUAACGUCGCAACACCAAAGAGCGGGACUUUCGGGCCUCUUGCCAUCGGCUUUUCCCAGAUGGGAUUAGCUAGUAGGUGGGGUAACGGCUCACCUAGGCCACGAUCCCUAGCUGGUCUGAGAGGAUGACCGGCCACACUGGAACUGAGACACGGUCCAGACUCCUACGGGAGGCAGCAGUGGGGAAUAUUGCACAAUGGGCGAAAGCCUGAUGCAGCAAUGCCGCGUGUAUGAAGAAGGCCUUCGGGUUGUAAAGUACUUUCAGCGGGGAGGAAGGGAGUAAAGUUAAUACCUUUGCUCAUUGACGUUACCCGAAGAAGAAGCACCGGCUAACUCCGUG